CUGUCACCAUUUGAGAGCGCGAA
This 23-nucleotide non-coding RNA is filed under the name Arabidopsis thaliana (thale cress). Lineage: Eukaryota; Viridiplantae; Streptophyta; Magnoliopsida; Brassicales; Brassicaceae. The record is from RNAcentral.